This 497-nucleotide ribosomal RNA is filed under the name uncultured bacterium. RNAcentral's name for it is "partial 16S ribosomal RNA". It matches the Rfam family "Bacterial small subunit ribosomal RNA", at positions 28 to 507 of the family's 1533-position model. The record is from RNAcentral.
GAUGAACGCUGGCGGCGUGCCUAACACAUGCAAGUCGAGCGAACGGGCUACAAUCUGGCUUCACUGAUGUUACCGGCGGGCGGGUGAGUCAUGCGUGGAUAACCUACCUAUAAGACUGAGAUAACGGCGGGAAGCCGGAUCUCAGACCGGAUGAUAUUUUGAACCGGAUGGGUCAAGAGUGAAAGACGGUCUUGCUGUCACUUAUAGGUGUAUCCGCGCUGCGUUAGCUAGUUGGCAAGGUAACGGCUUGCCAAGGCAACGAUGGAUAGCUGACCUGAGAGGGUGAUGCGCCCCAGUGAGAGUGAGACACGGCACAGACUCCUACGGGAGGCAGCAGUGGGGAAUCGUGGGCGAUGGGGGCAAGCUUGCUGGAGCGGCGCCGCGUGAGUGCUGAAGGUCCUCGGCUGGGAAACCUCUCUUCUUGGGGAAGAACGCGUGUGUACGUAACCGUGCUCUGCUUGACGGUAGCGGGUCAGAAAGCACCGGCUAACUACGUG